GCCAUGGCCGGGACAAAAUUGCUCAUUGCAUAGGGUCCCGUCUCCCGUGUCGUUUGUUGGGAUGGAGUCCCAGUAUUCUCCAAUUCAUUCGUGUGUGGGAGUAUGCAUGGGUUGAGGUCAACGACUUGGCGCUUCCCACAUCAAGAUUUACCCCCCAUUCAUGUCCUUGGUCGAACGAAGUUGAAUCUUAGUGAAAAUUGAGGUUGUACCCCCAGGCUUCCCACAUCCCCCCCCCCCCAUCGAGGUAGCAUCAUAGAGGAGAAAAGAAGGAAGUAUCGAGAGAAGAUACUUAUCUCCUAGCCGCCGCGGGUCUUCCUGCACCACGACACGUCACCACUGCAUCGACCCGCCACAACACCGCUAGCCUGACUUCACCGCCACCGUAGGUAUAACCUCUAUUUCUUUAUCAUGGUCGUAGAUCAGGUAACCCAGUUAAGCGUCUCUUGUUCGAAAGAAAUACAAUUGCAAAUAUGCAGAUCUUUACAUAUCGAUAAUCGUAUCUGUUUCGAAUUGUCCACAUUUUUUGGACAGCCCGCUAAUGCGUAGAUGGGGUUAGUUUCCAUGUUAUGCUCCUGUCCGAGACAGAGUUUUGGCAGCACCUCCUUGUUGUUCUCUAGAUACACACACUCCCUACAAGGAUGUAUAUUUGGAGAACAGCGGGGAUGUGCUACCAAAAUUCUAUCCCGAAUCAGAGUAGAGAAUGGAAACUAACCCCACCUAUGCAACCGUGGGUGGAAUUACGACCUAUCCUCACCAAUUAGAAGGUAGGAACAUACUGUAGAUGCAUUACAUGUUUAUAUUACACUAUGCUAUUAUCUAUGUUAGAGGAUGGAGGACCGUGAGUAGAUGUACACAGGCCACAUAAGAAGAAAAGAUGUCACCCUUGAAUGAAUUACAAAGACCAAUGCUUUCUUGGAAUGAGUAUUUGGCAAAGCUGCUAAAGGAGCGAGUCUAGUCCCAUGUUCGUGCAACAAAUGUGCAAAUAGGAAAAGACAAACAAAGAAUGCCAUGGGAGAACAUAUUUGGAAGAAUGGAUUUAUGACAGACUAUACCCGGUGGAUCUUCCAUGGUGAAGCAUAUCGUACGAGAGAGGAGGUGGUGAGACAACGCAUCAAGGAUUAUGAUGCUGAUGCAGGGGUAGCGGACAUGUUGAACGACUAUCACGAGGCAUAGUUCGCUGAAGAACUUAUGGAGGAUGAGCCAGAAGCAUAUCGUACGAGAGAGAAGGCGUUCUACGACAUGUUUAAUGCGACACAGAAACCCCUUCAUGGCAAGACAAAGGUUUCUCAACUAGAUGUCAUUGGAUGAAUAAUUGCGUUAGAGUUGUUGUAUAGUUUGAGUCGAGACGCCUUCGAUGGUUUGUUGACAGUUAUUGGUAGUUUUCUUUUGGAGGAUCAUGUUCUGCCAAAGAGCCUGUAUGAGGCACAGAAACUCCUUCGUGCACUCAAGAUGAUGUAUGAGCAGAUACAUGCUUGUUUGAA
Molecule: long non-coding RNA, 1481 nt
Organism: Zea mays
Lineage: Eukaryota; Viridiplantae; Streptophyta; Magnoliopsida; Poales; Poaceae
Exons: 2
Source: RefSeq, a predicted model, not a curated record